This 120-nucleotide ribosomal RNA is filed under the name Anolis carolinensis (green anole). Lineage: Eukaryota; Metazoa; Chordata; Lepidosauria; Squamata; Anolidae. The record is from RNAcentral.
GUGGGUAGGCCCUACUUUCCUCAAGAUGCCCAAUCUUGUUUGAUCUUGGAAGCUAAGCAGGGUCAGGUCUGGUUAUUACUAGAAUGGGGAACUGCCUGGGAAUAUUUGAACCUAUUAGCU